UCCACUGUAGGGAGAAAACUUUUCUAUUUCACAGCACAAGUUUACAAGUCAGGGACUCGAGGAAAAAAGAAGAAGAUGAUGAUGAUGAAAAAGAAGCCUCAUGAAUCAAUAUGAGAUAAAGAUGGUUAAUAUUAAAAAUAUUUAAUGUAAAAGGACAGAAAUUUGCCAUCAAAGCCAUGCUUCUACUUUUGUCCUCA
Long non-coding RNA from Momordica charantia (bitter melon), 197 nucleotides. RefSeq lists it as uncharacterized. Lineage: Eukaryota; Viridiplantae; Streptophyta; Magnoliopsida; Cucurbitales; Cucurbitaceae. The record is from RefSeq and is a predicted model, not a curated record.